GCCGGAGUGGCGGAAUUGGUAGACGCGCCGGACUCAAAAUUCGGUGAUUUUAGGAUCGUGUGGGUUCGAGUCCCACCUCCGGUA
This 84-nucleotide transfer RNA is filed under the name Rubrobacter sp. Its description in RNAcentral is "tRNA-Leu". It matches the Rfam family "tRNA". Rfam says of the family: Transfer RNA (tRNA) molecules are approximately 80 nucleotides in length. Their secondary structure includes four short double-helical elements and three loops (D, anti-codon, and T loops). Lineage: Bacteria; Bacillati; Actinomycetota; Rubrobacteria; Rubrobacterales; Rubrobacteraceae. The record is from RNAcentral.